AGAGUUUGAUCCUGGCUCAGGAUGAACGCUGGCGGCGUGCCUAAUACAUGCAAGUCGAACGCACAGCGAAAGGUGCUUGCACCUUUCAAGUGAGUGGCGAACGGGUGAGUAACACGUGGACAACCUGCCUCAAGGCUGGGGAUAACAUUUGGAAACAGAUGCUAAUACCGAAUAAAACUCAGUGUCGCAUGACACAAAGUUAAAAGGCGCUUUGGCGUCACCUAGAGAUGGAUCCGCGGUGCAUUAGUUAGUUGGUGGGGUAAAGGCCUACCAAGACAAUGAUGCAUAGCCGAGUUGAGAGACCGAUCGGCCACAUUGGGACUGAGACACGGCCCAAACUCCUACGGGAGGCUGCAGUAGGGAAUCUUCCACAAUGGGCGAAAGCCUGAUGGAGCAACGCCGCGUGUGUGAUGAAGGCUUUCGGGUCGUAAAGCACUGUUGUAUGGGAAGAACAGCUAGAAUAGGGAAUGAUUUUAGUUUGACGGUACCAUACCAGAAAGGGACGGCUAAAUACGUGCCAGCAGCCGCGGUAAUACGUAUGUCCCGAGCGUUAUCCGGAUUUAUUGGGCGUAAAGCGAGCGCAGACGGUUGAUUAAGUCUGAUGUGAAAGCCCGGAG
Molecule: ribosomal RNA, 617 nt
Filed under: uncultured bacterium
Lineage: Bacteria
Description: bacterial SSU rRNA
Rfam family: Bacterial small subunit ribosomal RNA
Source: RNAcentral